UCAUCGCUGAUCCCACUGCCCUUUCCAGCUAUUUUAUUUUGUGCUGGUCAGCAAGAAAAUAGGUGGAUGUUCUCCUCCAGAGGACAUCUUGUAACAAUGCCUGGAUCAACGAUGAGUCAACGACAAAAGACAGGCAACAUAUUGAUUAGCCACCCCGGACAGCGCCUCCAGCACCGAACUCUUCCCGGAGCUCUGGUCCCCUAUCACGGCUAUGGCAGGCAGCGCCAGGUCCUU
This is a long non-coding RNA of Xiphophorus maculatus (southern platyfish), 234 nucleotides long. RefSeq lists it as uncharacterized. Lineage: Eukaryota; Metazoa; Chordata; Actinopteri; Cyprinodontiformes; Poeciliidae. The record is from RefSeq and is a predicted model, not a curated record. The transcript has 3 exons.